RNAcentral lists this ribosomal RNA (216 nucleotides) under Glomeromycotina sp. Its description in RNAcentral is "partial small subunit ribosomal RNA". The stretch from base 40 to 216 matches the Rfam family "Eukaryotic small subunit ribosomal RNA", at positions 686 to 864 of the family's 1831-position model. Lineage: Eukaryota; Fungi; Glomeromycota. The record is from RNAcentral.
GGGUCAGUAGGUUGGUCGUGCCACCGGUACGUACUGGUCUCACUGAUUACUCCUUCCUGAAGAACCGUAAUGCCAUUAAUUUGGUGUUGCGGGGAAACAGGACUGUUACCUUGAAAAAAUUAGAGUGUUUAAAGCAAGCUAACGCUUGAAUACAUUAGCAUGGAAUAAUGAAAUAGGACGAUCGAUCCUAUUUUGUUGGUUUCUAGGAUUGACGUA